ACUUUGCAUGUUUGUUUCCAUACCUUAUACCCACUAGGUUCAUAUGUAUGUAAUUUGGGGGAAACAUAAUAUAUUUGUGAUUCAUUUUCCACUUAUGUUUUGUUUAUUUCAAUAUGUCAUGAUUCUCCUAGACUUCCAAUGUAUGGCUUUAGGGCUAAGUACUCUGUGUUUCCAUGGUAAGGAGCAAGCCAGAGCCUUAAUGAAUCACUGCCUGGGCUGCCUGUAAAGGAGCAAGUAACUGGUAGAGAAAUGGGAGAGAAAGAAAAGCAGAAGGAUUUGGACACAAUAAAGACAGGAAGAACUGGAGACCCAAGAGCCUGACGUAUGAAGAGUAAAAUAUAUCCUGAAGGCAAUAGCUUUUCCAGAAGGAAGCCAUCCUAACCGUGUAUCACAGGAGGGCGCUCAGCAUAGGGAUGUACUCACCAACCAAACCCAGAAUUGUCAUGUAAUCUAUGGGAUAAUUUAAGUUUUAUUCUAAUCCACUGCAUUGGAGUAAUUUUUAAUCAAUAAAUCCUUCUCUCUUUUUAAGAAUCACUCAUAGUAAAAGAGUCUACUUUUUAUAAAAAUAAACAAAAAAUUCCAUCAUA
RNAcentral lists this long non-coding RNA (587 nucleotides) under Mus pahari (shrew mouse). Its description in RNAcentral is "RIKEN cDNA 4930533P14 gene (MGP_PahariEiJ_G0006012.1)". Lineage: Eukaryota; Metazoa; Chordata; Mammalia; Rodentia; Muridae. The record is from RNAcentral.